RNAcentral lists this ribosomal RNA (438 nucleotides) under uncultured bacterium. RNAcentral describes it as "bacterial SSU rRNA". It matches the Rfam family "Bacterial small subunit ribosomal RNA", at positions 30 to 469 of the family's 1533-position model. The record is from RNAcentral.
UUGAACGCUGGCGGCAUGCCUUACACAUGCAAGUCGAACGGCAGCACGGGGUCAACCCUGGUGGCGAGUGGCGAACGGGUGAGUAAUAUAUCGGAACGUACCCUAGAGUGGGGGAUAACGUCGCGAAAGUUACGCUAAUACCGCAUACGAUCUACGGAUGAAAGUGGGGGCUCGCAAGACCUCAUGCUCAUGGAGCGGCCGAUAUCUGAUUAGCUAGUUGGUGAGGUAAAGGCUCACCAAGGCGACGAUCAGUAGCUGGUCUGAGAGGACGACCAGCCACACUGGGACUGAGACACGGCCCAGACUCCUACGGGAGGCAGCAGUGGGGAAUUUUGGACAAUGGGGGCAAGCCUGAUCCAGCAAUGCCGCGUGAGUGAAGAAGGCCUUCGGGUUGUAAAGCUCUUUUGUCAGGGAAGAAACGGGGAAGGUGAAUAGCGU